This 468-nucleotide ribosomal RNA is filed under the name uncultured bacterium. RNAcentral's name for it is "partial 16S ribosomal RNA". It matches the Rfam family "Bacterial small subunit ribosomal RNA", at positions 28 to 507 of the family's 1533-position model. The record is from RNAcentral.
GACGAACGCUGGCGGCGUGCUUAACACAUGCAAGUUGAACGGAGAGGCCCUGCUUUUGUGGGGUGCUCGAGUGGCGAACGGGUGAGUAACACGUGAGUAACCUGCCCUUGACUUUGGGAUAACUUCAGGAAACUGGGGCUAAUACCGGAUAGGAGCUCCUGCUGCAUGGUGGGGGUUGGAAAGUUUCGGCGGUUGGGGAUGGACUCGCGGCUUAUCAGCUUGUUGGUGGGGUAGUGGCUUACCAAGGCUUUGACGGGUAGCCGGCCUGAGAGGGUGACCGGCCACAUUGGGACUGAGAUACGGCCCAGACUCCUACGGGAGGCAGCAGUGGGGAAUAUUGCACAAUGGGCGGAAGCCUGAUGCAGCAACGCCGCGUGCGGGAUGACGGCCUUCGGGUUGUAAACCGCUUUCGCCUGUGACGAAGCGUGAGUGACGGUAAUGGGUAAAGAAGCACCGGCUAACUACGUG